This 3038-nucleotide ribosomal RNA is filed under the name Ilyonectria destructans. RNAcentral's name for it is "eukaryotic LSU rRNA". It matches the Rfam family "Eukaryotic large subunit ribosomal RNA". Lineage: Eukaryota; Fungi; Ascomycota; Sordariomycetes; Hypocreales; Nectriaceae. The record is from RNAcentral.
ACAAGGCGACCCGCUGAAUUUAAGCAUAUAAUUAAGCGGAGGAAAAGAAACUAACCAGGAUUCCCCUAGUAGCGGCGAGCGAAGCGGGAAAAGCCCAAUAUGAAAAGCCAGCUUGCUGGCGUUGUAGUUUGAGCGGCCUGCAGCUGUCAGUCUGGGAAAGUGGCAUGGAAAUGUCCACCGUGGAGGGUGAGAGUCCCGUCCAUCCCAGUCAGGGCAGUUGGUACGUGGCCGUUUCAGUCGAGUCGGGUAGCUUGGGAAUGCUGCUCUAAUCGGUGGUAAAUCUCAUCGAAGGCUAAAUACUGGUAGGAAACCGAUAGCGCACAAGUACCGUGAGGGAAAGGUGAAAAGCACUUUGAAAAGAGGGUGACAAGAACCUGAAACCGUUACGAGGGAAGCGGAUUGCAUCGAGUUGAUGGGUGUUUGCGCUUUCAGCCGGAAAAUUUUUUUUUGGUGGACUGGCGCAGACACUUACCCGUCGUGAGUUCUUGGCUGCCGAACCAACGGCGUGCCGAGGACUGUGGGAUCCCCUUUAUUGGGUGAGGACGAUGGGGCAGCGGUGCGAUACGACCCGUCUUGUAACACGGACCAAGGAGUCUAGCGGUGCUGCGAGUCGAAGGGACGUUUAAUCCUUGUAGGCGCAGUGAAAGCGAAUUACCAUAAGAAAUUGUGCUAAUUUGAGGGGGCAUGAGGUCGUUGACCAGAAAGUCCCACCUGGAGCAGUAGCGCUAGGACCCGAAAGAUGGUGAACUAUGCCUGAGUAGGGCGAAGCCAGAAGAAAUUCUGGUGGAGGCUCGUAGCGGUGCUGACGUGCAAAUCGCUCGUCGAACUUGGGUAUAGGGGCGAAAGACUAAUCGAACCAUCUGGUAGCUGGUUCCCCCCGAAGUUUCUCUCAGGAUAGCGGGCUGACAUGACGUUGUUUUGUGCGGUAAAGCGAAUGAUUAGCGCAUUUGGGGGCGUGCAGCCUUCUGGCGAUUCUCAAACUUUAAAUGCGCAAGCUGGCGCCGCUGCUUAAUUGAGCGGUUUUAGCUAGAAAAAAACGUCAGCCCCGUGGGCCACUUUUGGUAAGCAGAACUGGCGAUGCGGGAUGAACCGAAAGCGUAGUUAAGGCGUCAAAUUGUCCGCUUAUAGAUCCCACAAAAGGCGUUGGUUCAUCGAGACAGCAGGACGGUGGCCAUGGAAGUCGGAAUCCGCUAAGGAGUGUGUAACAACUCACCUGCCGAAUGAGGUAGCCCUGAAAAUGGAUGACGCUUAAGCGGGCAGCCGAUACUACGCCGUCGAUUUUAGUGAAAAACAAAUCGAUGAGUAGGGGGGCGUGGUGGUCGUGUCGAAGCAUUGCGUGCGAACGCGUGUGAAACGGCCACUAGUGCAGAUCUUGGUGGUAGUAGCAAAUAUUCAAGUGAGAACCUUGAAGGGCGAAGCGGGGAAGGGUUCCAUGCGAACAUUGAUUGGGCAUGGGUGAGUCGUCCCUAAGCCGAGUGGCCAUUGCUUACUCAGGCGGCGAAAGGGAAGCGGGUUGAAAUUCCCGCACACGGAUGUGGAACAAGGCGGUGACGCAAAUUACUGGGGCGGUGACGUUGGCAGUGGCGCUGGGCAGAGUUUUCUUUUCUGUUUAACCGCCUGACGCUUGCUCUGUGGAAUCCGAUUGUCGGGAGAAACAGGCAAGGCACGGGUAGAGCGCCGGGCUUUUUCCGGCGUCCAGCUCGCCGCUGACGACCCUUGAAAAACUGUCCUCAGGUAUUAAAAAUCCACGCCGUGGCGUACCGAUAACCGCAUCAGGUCCCCAAGGUGAACAGCCUCUGCUCGAUAUGAAAAAUGCAGGUAAGGGAAGUCGGCAAAUUAGACCCGUAACUUUGGGAAAAGGGUUGGCUCUAGUGCUGCGUGAGGCCUGGUCGGUGGCUGUGCUGUUGUUUGGUGGCGAACGUUGCCUUGAGCGUUUUUCGCAAGGAGGAUGUUCGGCAAUGUAGCUCUGGACAACCGCGGCCGGCGACGCUCACAGCAUGCAGCAAACUAGAACUGCAACGGGCAAGGGGAAUCCGACUGUUUAAUUAAAACAAAGCAUUGCGAAGGCCGGGGACGGUGAUUACGCAAUGUGAUUUCUGCUCAGUGCUCUGAAUGUCAAAGUGAAGAGAUUCAAUCAAGCGCGGGUAAACAGCGGGAGUAACUAUGACUCUCUUAAGGUAGCCAAAUGCCUCGUCAUCUAAUUAGUGACGCGCAUGAAUGGAUUAACGAGAUUCCUACUGUCCCUAUCUGCUUCUAGCGAAACCACAGCCAGGGGAACGGGCCUGGAAAAAUCGGCGGGGAAAGAAGACCCUGUUGAGCUUGACUCUAUUCUAAUUUUGUGGAGCAAGUUGGGAGGUGUAGCAUAGGUGGGAGACUUUACGUCGCCAGUGAAAUACCACUACUCCCAAUCUUGCUUUACUUACUAGGCAGGUGUGGAUGGGGUCAGUUUUCUGAUUCUUUUUUUGGAGCCAAGCCGGUUUUUUCUUCGGGAAAGACCAUAGGUGACCACCGCCUAGGACAGAUUUAGGAGGGGAGUUUGGCUGGGGCGGUACAUCUUCUACAAGACAACGAAGGUGUCCUAAGAUCAGCUCAGUGAGAACAGAAAUCUCACGUAGCGCAAAAGGGUAAAAGCUGGUUUGAUUUCGAUUUUCAGUGCGAGUCGAAAACGCGAAAGCGUGGCCUAUCGAUCCUUUCACGAUUCGAGAUUUGAAGCGAGAGGUGUCAGAAAAGUUACCACAGGGAUAACUGGCUUGUGGCGGCCAAGCGUUCAUAGCGACGUCGCUUUUUGAUCCUUCGAUGUCGGCUCUUCCUAUCAUUGCGUCGCAGAAGGCGCAAAGUGUCGGAUUGUUCACCCGCCAACAGGGAACGUGAGCUGGGUUUAGACCGUCGUGAGACAGGUUAGUUUUAUCCUACCGAUGAAAGGUUGUCGCGGCAGUAACUUAAGGCAGUACGAGAGGAACGCUGAAUUCGGAUCUCUGGCACAUGCAGCUGCGGGAGGCCGCAGUGCUGCGACGCUACCGUCCGAACGAUCAGAAAGG